Molecule: ribosomal RNA, 587 nt
Filed under: uncultured bacterium
Lineage: Bacteria
Description: bacterial SSU rRNA
Rfam family: Bacterial small subunit ribosomal RNA
Source: RNAcentral
CCUACGGGAGGCAGCAGUGGGGAAUUUUGGACAAUGGGGGCAACCCUGAUCCAGCCAUUCCGCGUGAGUGAAGAAGGCCUUCGGGUUGUAAAGCUCUUUCAGCUGGAACGAAACGGUACGCUCUAACAUAGCGUGCUAAUGACGGUACCAGCAGAAGAAGCACCGGCUAACUACGUGCCAGCAGCCGCGGUAAUACGUAGGAGGCGAGCGUUAUCCGGAUUUACUGGGCGUAAAGAGGACGCAGGCGGCCUUUCAAGUCGGAUGUAAAAUCUCCCGGCUCAACUGGGAGGGACCGUUCGAUACUGUUAGGCUUGAGUGCAGCAGAGGGAAGCAGAAUUCCCGGUGUAGUGGUGAAAUACGUAGAUAUCGGGAGGAACACCAGUGGCGAAAGCGGCUUUCUAGGCUGUAACUGACGCUGAGGUCCGAAAGCGUGGGGAGCGAACAGGAUUAGAUACCCUGGUAGUCCACGCCCUAAACAAUGGACACUAGGUAUGGGGAGUAUCGACCCUCUCUGUGCCGCAGCUAACGCUUUAAGUGUCCCGCCUGGGGACUACGGCCGCAAGGCUAAAACUUAAAGGAAUUGACGG